This 139-nucleotide ribosomal RNA is filed under the name Peribacillus simplex. RNAcentral describes it as "Bacillus simplex partial 16S ribosomal RNA". It matches the Rfam family "Eukaryotic small subunit ribosomal RNA", at positions 311 to 449 of the family's 1831-position model. Lineage: Bacteria; Bacillati; Bacillota; Bacilli; Caryophanales; Bacillaceae. The record is from RNAcentral.
CCUAUCAACUUUCGAUGGUAGGAUAGUGGCCUACCAUGGUUUCAACGGGUAACGGGGAAUAAGGGUUCGAUUCCGGAGAGGGAGCCUGAGAAACGGCUACCACAUCCAAGGAAGGCAGCAGGCGCGCAAAUUACCCAAU